GCUCCACUUCCUCCGAUCACCGGUAACUCCUUUCGUCCGUCUCCACUUUCAACUCUCCCUGAAACCACUAAAGUACUCCCAUUAAACCUUUCUUCAUUGAAGAUAAAGGUUAUCAGUACUGUGGUCGAAACUAUCUCCUUGGAGGUCAGUGAAAAAAUCCCCUGUGCUCUACCGACAACAUCAACCGUUGUUUCAGGGUCGAGAGUUAAUGGGUGAUCGAAAACGUAUGUAAGACCGAAUUGCGUGGCAGAAGAGUUGGUCGAGGCAGCUUGAGCUAUUGGUACUCCUGUUGGGUCUGGGCCAGUGAAGUUCUCUUUGAUGUAGAACUGAAGUUGAGUUUGCUUGAGUUUCGGAAGUUUGGGUGCAUCUUUCACUUCAACAACUAGUUGUUUUCCCUGGCAUAGGAACACGAAAGUUGUUGAAGAGACGGAAAGAAGGAAGAUCAGUAGGAUUGCCGUUGUUGACGCCAUUUGAUCGAGUUUGGAGUUUGAUGAGCAUGAUCGAUGUCUUGAUGUUAAAUUUAUAGCACACCACAACUUUGAAAAUUCAAGCGAAACGCACGCGGAUGUUGAAAAUUACAUGUUGACAAAAAUCAUAAAUCAGUUUUGAUUCCACCAUAUUUAUUCUCCUUAAUUUUGGAGAUCAAAUGCUCAAAUCAUGUGGUUUGUAGCACUUGUCACCAAUCAUUGAAUCAAUAAAUUGGAAUUCAAGAGCCAAACCGCCUAUCAACUAAGAAAUCUUCCUUGAGAACUGAGUGACUAAAUCCAACCAAUUCAUUUUCUAAAUUAUUUAUAUAUGUUCAGAUUUAAAAAAAUACAAUUUAUAAUUAAAUAUAUAAAAACAUCAAUUUUUUUGAAAUCGAUCUUAUGAAAUAAUAAUAAAUAUCAUUGAAGUUUCGACUUUUUCCACUCUUGUUUUUUAAGUAAUUAAAUUUCACUAAAAAAAAUAAAGGCAAUGUCUAAAUUACAUAGAGUAUAAAAAUAUAAAACAUAAAUAAAAAAAUAAACAAGAAGUUCAUUGACUCUCUCAUAUUAACUAUUAGUCUAGUUAUAUAAUAAUUAGAUACUUUGUCUCAGGGGUUAAUCUCUCAUACAUUUAUCAUAAAUAUCUCAAAAAGGUGACAACAUCUUUUUUUGUCACACUCUGGAUCAAAGAAGAGACCUGGGUCUAGCCGCGCGAAUGGACCGGACCCGGGAAAGUCUAAAAAGCUUGCGAACCUCUAGGGCUAACACUAUAAAUACCUCCCUUGAUCCAACAGAGGAGGAGGCGGACAGUUUGAAGAGAUAUUCCAAGGAGUUGUGUGUAUGAGCACUCAUCUGCGAGCCCACAUACCAUCAAGACUGAUGACCUUAAUGACCAACUUCUUGUAACACUCAGUCUUUUAACAACCAACUAUUUAUCUCUAAUCACGUCAUGUUAGCAAACUUUUGUGCCAAAUGAUAUAAUGGGUUUGAUUUUAUUUAUAAGACGAAAUUGAGAUUUCAUUAUUUGAAAACUAAAUAAAAACUCACAUUUGACCAUUCAAUAUUCAUCUAACGAUUAAAUAAUUUAAUAUUAAAUAUGAUACGUAAAAUUGCAUAUUUGGACUAUGAUUAAAGUUCUUAAUCGUUCUAAAAGACAAACAAAGUGUCAGAUAAAUUGAAUUAAGUGGUAUUCAUUUAUAAAAUUUUAUUUAUUUUGGUAUAACACUCCCUUAAUUAUUAUUAAUUAUUGGUUGUGAUGUUUCAAUAGUAGUGCCUAACAUAAAUAUUGUACAAAGGAAUUUCAAUCCCCCCACCAAUAUCUAUUGGUUUGAUAUCACAGUAUCCGGUGGCGAAUUUGAACACUCCACUUCCUCCGAUCACAGGUAUUUCCCUUAGCCCAUCUGCACUGUCAACUCUUCCGGCGACCACUAAACUACUCCCAUUAAACUUUUCCUCAUUGAAAAUCAAGGUCAUCAGAACUGUAGCCGAAAAUGUCUCCUUCGAGGUCAAUGAAAAAAAUCCCUGGGAUCUACCGACAACAUCCGUAGUAUUUUCAAGGUCUAGAGUUAAUGGGUUGUCGAAAGUAUAAGUAAGACCAAAUUGCGUGCUAGAAGAGUUGGUUGAGGCGGCCUGAGCAAUCACGACUCCGGUUGG
This 2117-nucleotide long non-coding RNA is filed under the name Zostera marina. RNAcentral describes it as "long non-coding RNA (ZMAR_LNC000004)". The record is from RNAcentral. Lineage: Eukaryota; Viridiplantae; Streptophyta; Magnoliopsida; Alismatales; Zosteraceae.